GUAGGUGGCAAGCGUUGUCCGGAAUUAUUGGGCGUAAAGCGCGCGCAGGUGGUUCUUUAAGUCUGAUGUGAAAGCCCCCGGCUCAACCGGGGAGGGUCAUUGGAAACUGGGGAACUUGAGUGCAGGAGAGGAAAGUGGAAUUCCACGUGUAGCGGUGAAAUGCGUAGAUAUGUGGAGGAACACCAGCGGCGAAGGCGACUUUCUGGCCUGUAACUGACACUGAGGCGCGAAAGCGUGGGGAGCAAACAGGGAUUAGAUACCCUGGUAGUCCACGCCGUAAACGAUGAGUGCUAAGUGUUGGGGGGGUUUCCCGCCCCUCAGUGCCCGCAGCUAACGCAUUAAGCACUCCGCCUGGGGAGUACGGUCGCAAGACUG
RNAcentral lists this ribosomal RNA (375 nucleotides) under uncultured organism. Its description in RNAcentral is "partial 16S ribosomal RNA". It matches the Rfam family "Bacterial small subunit ribosomal RNA", at positions 527 to 896 of the family's 1533-position model. The record is from RNAcentral.